This 492-nucleotide ribosomal RNA is filed under the name uncultured bacterium. Its description in RNAcentral is "partial 16S ribosomal RNA". It matches the Rfam family "Bacterial small subunit ribosomal RNA", at positions 29 to 507 of the family's 1533-position model. The record is from RNAcentral.
AGUGAACGCUGGCGGUAGGCCUAACACAUGCAAGUCGAACGGCAGCACAGUAAGAGCUUGCUCUUACGGGUGGCGAGUGGCGGACGGGUGAGGAAUACAUCGGAAUCUACUUUUUCAUGGGGGAUAAUGUAGGGAAACUUACGCUAAUACCGCAUACGACCUACGGGUGAAAGCAGGGGAUCUUCGGACCUUGCGCGAUUGAAUGAGCCGAUGUCGGAUUAGCUAGUUGGCGGGGUAAAGGCCCACCAAGGCGACGAUCCGUAGCUGGUCUGAGAGGAUGAUCAGCCACACUGGAACUGAGACACGGUCCAGACUCCUACGGGAGGCGGCAGUGGGGAAUAUUGGACAAAGGGCGCAAGCCUGAUCCAGCCAUACCGCGUGGGUGAAGAAGGCCUUCGGGUUGUAAAGCCCUUUUGUUGGGAAAGAAAAGCAGCAGGUUAAUACCCCGCUGUUCUGACGGUACCCAAAGAAUAAGCACCGGCUAACUUCGUG